RNAcentral lists this ribosomal RNA (460 nucleotides) under uncultured bacterium. RNAcentral's name for it is "partial 16S ribosomal RNA". It matches the Rfam family "Bacterial small subunit ribosomal RNA", at positions 338 to 795 of the family's 1533-position model. The record is from RNAcentral.
CCUACGGGGGGCAGCAGUGAGGAAUAUUGGUCAAUGGACGAGAGUCUGAACCAGCCAAGUAGCGUGAAGGAUGACUGCCCUAUGGGUUGUAAACUUCUUUUAUAUGGGAAUAAAACGUUCCACGUGUGGGAUUUUGUAUGUACCAUAUGAAUAAGGAUCGGCUAACUCCGUGCCAGCAGCCGCGGUAAUACGGAGGAUCCGAGCGUUAUCCGGUUUUAUUGGGUUUAAAGGGAGCGUAGGUGGAUUGUUAAGUCAGUUGUGAAAGUUUGCGGCUCAACCGUAAAAUUGCAGUUGACACUGGCAGUCUUGAGUACAGUAGAGGUGGGCUGAAUUCGUGGUGUAGCGGUGAAAUGCUUAGAUAUCACGAAGAACUCCGAUUGCGAAGGCAGUUCACUGGACUGCAACUGACACUGAGGCUCGAAAGUGUGGGUAUCAAACAGGAUGAGAUACCCGGGUAGUC